RNAcentral lists this long non-coding RNA (24143 nucleotides) under Nicotiana benthamiana. Its description in RNAcentral is "long non-coding RNA (NBEN_LNC011892)". The record is from RNAcentral. Lineage: Eukaryota; Viridiplantae; Streptophyta; Magnoliopsida; Solanales; Solanaceae.
AAAAAAAAAAACUACAUCAACAAAGUCCAAACAAUCUAAAAAGAAAUCAUGAAUUUUCAAUACUUCUUGAAGNNNNNNNNNNNNNNNNNNNNNNNNNNNNNNNNNNNNNNNNNNNNNNNNNNNNUCAAUACUUCUUGAAGAAUUGGGACGAUGUUGAUAAAGAAUUACAAAUUGAAGAAAUUGCAAGGAUCGACAAAAAGGGACAUCAUUUUAACUCGUUCAUAUGCCACUUUGUUAGUAUCCUUAUUUGUAAUAUCAUCACAGAGUAUGUUAUAAACUCUGUGAUGAUCAUAAAAUAUUUGGUCUUGUCAAGUUCGUAUUUUUUGCAUUCCUGUUAAUAUGUGAGGUUGUCAAGCCUCAAUAGGAUUUAGUACGGUAUGUUUAUCCUGGUGUGUGUUAUAUGGAUAACAAUACCGGUUCUAAUGCCCCCUUAUUUGUACUUUUUCUAAUUGUUGUAAUUUUCUUUUAUGCUAUUAAUAAAAAGCUAGCCCUAGACACUUGCCUAGUAAAUUGCAAAAAAAAAGUGGUUGAUUUAGCAAUUAAAAUACAUAUACAUCCCAUAUAACAAACCUUAUAACUACUCAUGUUUAAGGUUAUUGUUUAUUACAUUUAAGUAUACCAUGUUUCAAUUUAUGUACCAAAAUUUACUUUUAAGGUUUANNNNNNNNNNNNNNNNNNNNNNNNNNNNNNNNNNNNNNNNNNNNNNNNNNNNNNNNNNNNNNNNNNNNNNNNNNNNNNNNNNNNNNNNNNNNNNNNNNNNNNNNNNNNNNNNNNNNNNNNNNNNNNNNNNNNNNNNNNNNNNNNNNNNNNNNNNNNNNNNNNUCUUUUUUUUUUAACACCAAACUAGCAACACUUUUAUUUAAUAGUAGACUGGAAAUACUUAUAUUUGUGAAACAUAAUAGUCAAGUAGCUGGAAAUCGUCUUUAUUCCUCCAUACAAGUUGAGAAUUCUAAACUCAUGGAACAACAUAUCGUCCACAUCUCUUCCCAACAGGUCUAUUCUUGAUGUUGCACCUCUUGGGGAUAGUGACAGCAAUAGCAGUAUUAACUCCUGCAUUUUUAGCAGCUGGUGACAGUAAUGCCGCACAUAGGCAUUUUGGAGAAGUCUUUAGCAAAUCCCCAAAUUCACCACAGCAUGCUGGAGGGACUUUUAUCCUACCAUUUUUGGCUGCUGCAAGACAUGGAAUUAAGCUAGCAGCUGGUGCAUUUCCACAUCCUCCUACUUUUCCUGCUGCAUUUGCUUGAGGAAUAAAUGAAUUACUUAUAGUUAGCAAGUAAACAAGUAUGGCCACAAUCCAAAUGUUAUAAACUUUGGAAGCCAUAAUUUUGGUUAAAAUAGAGAACUCUUUCUUUCUAAGUGUAUAAUAUAUGGUUGGUUUUAAAAACUACAUUUACCUACAUUUGACUACAUUUUAAAAACUCACUGGAAAUAUUUCAUAUAACCUUAACUAUAUUUACCUACAUUUGACUACAUUUUAAAAACACACUGGAAACAGUGCAUAUAACCUUAACUACAUUUGACUACAUUUAACUACAUUUUAAAAGCUUCUUCAUUUAUUGGAUUAGUUGAAUAGGAUUGCCAAAUCAUAAUUUCAUGAUUUUGUUUACUUUCAUCAAUAUAUAUAUAUAUAGUGAUAAAUUAGAAGAAAGGAGUUUUCUUAAAUUAUUUUUUAUGCAUAAUUCUCGAUAAAUUUUAUAUUUAAAAAAUUGAGAGUAUUUUAGUGAAAUUAUCAGUUACAAUAUAGUGAAACCAAAUAGCAAAAUAUUAUCUAACAACAAUAAAUAAUACAAUCUAUCUAAAUAUUAUAUUCAUAAAACAAUACAAUAAAAACAAUACAUUAUAAAACGAUAUGUAACAACCAUCAAACAAGUUGUUAUAUUUGGCGUUACCUUAGAGCUUUUAUUCUUUUCCAUAAAUUUUGUAGACAAAAUAAUUUAUUUAUCUUUUCCUGUAAGUAAGAAGAGUAAAUUAUAUAACAGAUUCGCUUGAUUGCUUCCAUAACUAAGUUAACGCCAAAUCUUAAAUGUUAUUUUCCAUAAUUAAGUUAUUCGUAAGUAUUCAAACAAGAAAGUAUGAUUAAUUGAAGGGAUUUUUACCUUAAUUGAUUUAGUAUUUAUUUGGUGCAAAAUCAAAGAUUAAUUAGGAGCCAUAAAUACAUGAGUUAUUUUAGGAUACAAUUCAUUUAACAUAGAUUUGAGCCUUAAUAAAAGGCGUUAUUUUAGGAGGCAACAUCAGGAAAUAUUCCGUUUGGUACAUAUUGUGUAACAAAAACAUGAGAUAUGAUGGUAAUAAUCAAACAAUGCACAAUAAUAGUAGUAAGGUUUGUUAUAUGGGAUGUAUAGGUAAAAAUCCAAAAAAAAAGCUUGGAUUGUUGACAUUUCCAACUAGACUAAGCAAAACCAAUAGCCCAAUUGCCCAAAAUAGCAGCCCAAACCCAUGCCCAAUCCGCCCCAUAACCCGCCUGGCCCAUCCCUUCCCUCUUCCCCCUCUAUCUGAAGAAGUAGCAAUCGUUCCCUCCUCCAUGAAAUCCUCUCUCUCUCUCAACACAAGAGAUCANNNNNNNNNNNNNNNNNNNNNNNNNNNNNNNNNNNNNNNNNNNNNNNNNNNNNNNNNNNNNNNNNNNNNNNNNNNNNNNNNNNNNNNNNNNNNNNNNNNNNNNNNNNNNNNNNNNNNNNNNNNNNCCCCCCCCCCUAUUUAGGAAAAACAACCGCUAGAUGCCGCCUUAUCCCUCCUCACCAUCUCAUCAACAUUGAGUAUGUGCAUUUUCUUCCCCCAAAACGAUCACUCUUUUCUCUCAUCUCAUUCAUACACAGAUCUAAAAGAGAAGAGAGGUUCUUCAAAUUUCAAAUAAUUCGAAUAUGAAAACAAAGGCUCUAAAAAGGGAAGAUGAAUGCUUUGAUGAAGAUUUGAAGUCCAUCGGGUCACUGAAAACUCAAAGCUCAAAUACUCCUCCCCAGUUCCUAUAGAUGAUGUUGAGUUCGAGUUGCUAAUUUCUCCCAAUAUUGUUGAAUCUUAGCUCCAAUUUACUGAUUUCUGGCAUGUAUUUAGCCUCCUUUGCUUCUAAAUUUAGUCUUUGAGCAGAUAGGUAUGUUCUUUACAAAACUAUUCUAAAGAUCUGUUUUCAUUCGUAAAUCGUAAUGUUAUUUGGUUCCUGUAUUACUAAAGUUAUUUUUGCCAUAUGAAUAUAAAUAUAAAAGGUUGUUGUUGAUUUUAGAAUCACUAUUGUCUUUUAAAAAAUACUAGUACAAUUUAGUACUCCCUCCAGAUGUUUUAAUUAAGACACCUAAACCAGAAAAUUGGUCCAGAUUUCUUCAUUUUAGAAAAGAUGAAGCUAAGGCACUAAUAUUUAUUUGUUUAGAUCUGAUUCUGAACAGUGAUUAUGAAAUCGUUUGUUGUUUAGUUCAUCUACUGCUACUGGUUGCAUUUGUUUGUGUAUAUCUAAUUUCAUACAAUUAAAUUUGAAUUGGAGCUUGAUUUUUUGGUUAUAUCCGAGCUGCAUGAAAUGUGAGCAACUUUAUUGUACUAGCUUGUUUCCUAUUUUGAGUAAUGUCACAUGCUGAAAUGAAACUUGUAUAAUCUGCUAGUUUUAAAAGUGAGUGACUCAAUCAUCACUCUGUUGUUCAUAUAUCGCUUUCAUUGAAACAAGGCGUAACGACCCAACUAGUCAUUUUAAGCUCUAGCAUGUUGUUCAGCAGUUUGAGGUCAUAAACAGCUUUACAUUAGGUAUUAUAACUUGUACGCAUAGUCAAAAUUGAAUUUCGGAAAGUUCGGAGUUGAUUUGGAAAGAGAAUUCUUAUUUCGGAAGCUUUAUGUUGAAAGAAUUGACUAAGAUUGGAUUUUUGAGUUAUCGACCUCAUAAUUGGGAUCUAAAAGUUCUAGUAGGUUCAUAUGAUGAUUUCGGACUUGGGCAUAUGCCUGGAUCGGGUCAUGGAUGAUCCGAGAGCAUUUUGGCGCCUAUUGUGUAAGUUAGCAUUUUGGAAGAAAUUUCAUAAGUUUGGUUGUUGAAGUGCAUUUCGGUAUUAUAGAUGUCUGUUUGGGAUUCUAAGUCUUGGAGUAGCUCCAUAUGGUAAUUAUGGAGUUGGGAGCGCGAUUGGAAGUGAAUUCGGAGGUCCAUAGGUCAUUUUGAAGUCAUUUGGCUAAAGAUAGAAAUUUGAAGGUUUUUGAGAAGUUUGACCAAGAGUGUACAAGUGUGACAUGUAGUCANNNNNNNNNNNNNNNNNNNNNNNNNNNNNNNNNNNNNNNCAUAGGUCAUUUUGAAGUCAUUUGGCUAAAGAUAGAAAUUUGAAGGUUUUUGAGAAGUUUGACCGAAAGUGGACUUUUUGAUAUCAAGGUCGGAUUUUGAUUUCGAAAGUUAGAGUUGGUCUGUAAUGUCGAAUAUGGCUUGUGUGCAAAUUUUAAGAUUAAUCGGACGUGAUUUAACGGGUUUCAGCAUUGAAUGUAGAAGUUUGAAAUUUCAAAGUUCGUAAAGCUUGAAUUGGAGUGUGAUUCAUGGUUUUAGCAUUGUUUUGAUAUGAUUUGAGGCCUCGAGCAAGUCCGUAAUGUGUUAUGGGACUGGUUUAUGUUAUUGGACGGGGCCUUGGGGGCCUCGGGUGUGUUUUGAGGUGGUUUCAGAUCAUUUUCGGCUGUUUUGCAAUAGCUGAUGCUGGUGUCUGGUGUUGUUCGUCGCGUUCACGAGGAUCCCUUGCUUUCGCAAGAAAGAUUUUGCUUCAGGGACUCUGUUAGCGAAGAAGGAAAUCUCGUUUUCACAUAUCUGACUUCGGAGGCUCAUAUCUUGUAAUCUAUAAUGAAUUUGGAGAUGAUCAAAAAACAAAAGUUGUAUUCCUCUGUGUCUAGUUUUGAAAAAGGUAAACCAUUUAGUAUUUGAAUUUAUAUACAAAAAGUAAUGUCUGGUACACUAUAGGCUGUCCGGGAAGAUGAAGAAAUUGUGCUGCAUAGGGUUGACUUUUGGUGACUUAUAUCUCAAAAUCUAUAACGAAUUGGGAGAUGACCAAAACAUAAAAGUUAUAGGUAUUGGUGUCUGGUUUUCAAAACAUUAAACCAUUUGUCAUUUGGAGUUUCUUUUAAAACCUUAUGGCUAUUAUACUAGAGUCCAUCUGAGAAGAGUUUCAAAAAUUAUUUUUGGAAAUUUUCUUCUUCGCGAAUGCGACGGGGGUUUCGCGAGAGUCGUAUGGGUAGUGUAUAAGUGUAAAGAAAUGGGUUUAGCUAAUUUCAUUUCAUUUAUUCCAUGGGAACCCUCACUUUCAACCGAGAUGUUGUGAGUUCGAGUCUCCGCAAGAGCAAGGUGGGAAGUUCUUGGAGGGAAUGAUGCCGGGGGUCUAUUUGGAAACACCCUCUUCACCCAAGGGUAGAGGUAACGUCUGCGUAUACACUACCCUCUCCAGACCCCACUAAGUGAGAUUAUACUGGUUGUUGUUGUUGUUACUCCAUGGGAACCGACCUAGGAGCGAUUUUGGAGCUCCAUUUUCAUCAUCUAUGUCUAGGUAAUUACUUGAUUCCCACCUAUUGCAAGUUAGUUCCUUCGAUUAAAUCUCGAUUUUAACAUAAAAAAUCAUGUGAGUUAAUUGAAAUUUUGGGAUUGUGAAGAAAACCUAGGAAAUUUGUCUUCUUAGAUUUUGACCACAAUUUUGGACAUGAAAUUGAGAGCCACCUAUAUAUUUGAGUUUGUCAGGCUAUGGGUAAACUUUAUCUUCGAAAAAUUUAGGAAUCCGGACACGUGUCCUGAUGACAAUUUUGCCAACUUUUCUAUCGGGGUUAGAAAUUUUUAUAAAUUGGAUUGUAACGAGUAAUUGGGCAUAUAUUAAAGGAAUUGCAUAAUUAUUAUCUAGCUUUAGAGAAUUUAACAUCGAUUCGAGUCUUUAAAAGGGCGUGGAUUGUCGGUUAAGGAUCUUGGAAGCGAGGUGAGUCUCAUUUCUAACCUUUUAAGAUGGAAUUGUACCCAUAGGUAAAAUAAUUGGUUAUGUGCUCCCUUUCGUGGGGGCUACGUACGCACGAGGCGACGAGAGUCCAUGCGUAGCUACUAAUAUGUGUAAGUGCAGGUAGUCUAGGAUCCUAAAGCAUACUAUACUUGGAAUAUCUGUAAUUUUGUUGGCAGUUGAAUUCUUUAAAUCCUAUCGAAUUGGUAAAUGAAUUUCUAAAAGGAUUAAACUUCGUUUUCUUAAAUCAUUAAAAGAGAAUAGGCUUUUAUUUGGAUAAAUAUUUUCCGAUAAAUUCUUAAUUGGCUGUUUGAACAUGUAUUUCUAUGUAUACCUGCGUCGCAUGUCUGAGUCGCGAGCAUGGUGAUUGUUUAUUUAAAUUUGGCCGCGUCGCAUGUAUGAUUCGCGAGCGGGUUAAUAGAUACAUCUAUGGUUCGCGCUGUUUGACCCUCGACAAUGUACAUUUUACUGUUGUUGGACCGGGUCAUACGACAUCGGCAUGAAUUGCACAUGCUUGUAUUGCUUGCCUUGAAACUUAUUGAAGUUGUCAUUGCAUAUUCCCGGCAAAAGAAUAUAUGUAUAAAUAAUGAAAAGGAAUUUAAAAAUUCCCUAUAAAGGAAAGAAUUGUUUACUUGCUUCAACCUAUCGAAUUACAAUCAUAUUUAUAUAAAUUCACGAUUUAAUAUAUUAUUGAUAUAAUAUUAUUGGGCCACUAGUAAGUAUCGAAGUCGACCUCUCGUCUCUACUUCUUCGAGAUUAGAUGGGAUACUCAUUGGGUACACGUUGCGCAUUUUUGUUACGCAAGCUAUCGUCUCUAGUCGCUUAGUGGGCAUAGCAACAUGGUUGAUACGAAUACUUGGGUGAGCUGCAUUUCCCGAGACUACCCGCAGCUAGCAAGUCUCUUUCAGAUUACUGUAUUUAUUUUUUGUCCGAUAUUUUAUUUCUAACGGUUGUUGUAUUAUAUUAUUUCUCAAAAACUUUUCAUGCACUUGUGACAUCGGGUUUUUGGAUGUCUUUGGGUUUAUUCAGAAAUUUAUAAGUUGUUAAAUAUUUCCAUAUUUAUUCAGAGGAAUUUCCUAUGUAUAAUUUAAACGUACAAAAAAGGUUAUUUCUGAAAUAUUUAAAACGAAAAUUUAAUUGAAUAUUUUGGUUGACUUGCCUGAUAGCAGUGUCCGACGCCAUCAGAACCAUUAGUGGAUCUUGGGUCGUGACACAAGAUAUUGGCAUAAGAGUAGACUUGGUUAAAUAUUUAAUGUUUUAAGUUAGUCACAAUGAAUUCUGAAUUCGUUUCUUUCACGUGUAGUGGGCUUGACAAUCAACCAUUCUUCAAACAAUCACUACACGCUAAUAUGCGUUUAAGACAAAUAUCUUACAUCUUUGUCACAAAUAAUUCCAUAACGCAAGGCCUUUAUAAUAAUCUCAAAUUAUCUUUAAGAAUAACCAUGAACAUUCGUAUUGCUUUAGGCGAUAAAUAAAUCAUCACGGCUAUGGGACGGUUCCCAUGGCAAUGUCGUGAUACAUAAUUUUCAACUCGGAUGUGUAUUUCAUGUGAUCCGAUCAUAACUUUGAAUAAUGAUUAAAAUAAACAUGUUAUUAUCGUGGGUUCAUUUCAUGUGACGCGAUUCGCAAUAUGUACUAAAAAGCGAGUGCAUAACAUCUUGACUUGUUCAAACAAAAAAAAUUCAAAAAACCAAAGUAUUUGCGUAAGAGUCCCGCUUUCGAAAAUUAAAAGCCAACAUCCAAAUAAAAAAAUAUUUUCUUUCUUCUUUAAAAAAAGAGAAAAAAAGUUAAAAUUGAGAGAAAAAAGUUUCUUUUUACUUUAGAAAUUCCCAAAGUUCAAACCAAAAGAAAAAAGAAUUUUAGAAGUCUUUCUUUCAGAAAAGAAAAAAUCAAAUCAAAAUCAAAAACAUAUUUUCUUUCUACUUCUAAAGCAUUUCUUUCGAAAAUUCAAAAACAAAAUACAAAUUCAAAAUGUGUUUUUUUUUUCCUCUUAAAGCUUUCAUGGUCAGAGUUUUAUAAAAAAUAAACAAAAAAAGAGUUAGCUUAUUUACUCCAUUCUCGAUCUCUCCGAACUAUGCAAGAUCUGAUUCAAGCGACUUCAUGAUAUGUAGGCAAUCACCAUCAUAUUCGAUAAUAGCCAUAAAAUUUAAUUGGGUGAAAAAUCUACUGAAAAAAAAGAGAAAGAAAUAUUGAGUGCAAAAAAAAAGAGGAAAAAAAAAAGAAAAAAAGAGAGUGACAAAAAAUAAAAGAGUGACAAAAAUAAAAAAGAAAAGAAGGUGCCAAAAAAUAAAAGGGAAACAUAAAUGAAAUGACAAAAAACAUGAGUGAUUACAAAGCGGCAGAAAUAAAAGAAAAGAGGUACAUACUAAAAGGGUUAGUGAAGGCCAGGUUCUGUUCAGGUGGUUGGUUUUGUUGGUAUGCGGUGAUGAAUACGACCUUGCAUGCGAAGAAAAUAUUAUACACAAAACCGAGCUCCACUACUUAGAAAUGUCCAUCCUUACCAAGCUCCAUACAAUCCCCAAUAAAAUUUUCCUCAGUACAAUCCUCGCCCAAAAGACCCUUUCAAAUGGAAUCAGUUCACCCCUAUUGAUGAAUCAAACUCGGGCUUGUUCCAAAAGCUAAUCAGGUGAGGUCUCCUGCAGCCAGUGGCCCAAACCGGCCAAACCCCGAGUCCCCCUUGCACCGUACUGAUGCUAGAUGUGAUUACCACUAGGGAGCAGUGGGACACAACAUAGAGGACUGGUGGACCCUCAAAAGAGCAAUUGAAGAUUUGUUCGAAGAUGAAAGAAUUGUUCUUCAGGACAAAGAGGCUCCUGAUCUUGUCACUUUUCUUAUUCUCUUUCAGUUCUGUUAAAUGCAUAUUUCAAUAACAUGACAUGCAUGCGAACUUCAUGCCCUGAUCCUGAAAUGCUGUCAGACCUCGAAAAAAUGAAUCAAGAAUUAGACUGCAAUGUAGAUAAGUUUAAGAAAAUAAAACAAAGAGUUGGAACAGCUAAUGAAAUAUUGGCUCUAGAUUGGAAAGAUACAUACAUGGUAACAAGAGUACUACCAAAGGGAACUUUGAACAUUGGAAACAUCGAUGAAAAUGUCCCAGUAACAACUAUCAAUGCAAAUACAACCAAAAUUUACUAUAUUUGAUUAUCCUCUUUAGAACUUGAAAGUGUUAUUGAAAAAAAAAAGUGAAAAGAUAAAUUGAAAUGAAAAAAAAAGAGAUGAAAAAGGGGAAGGGAAAAACAAAGAGAAAAGAAAACAAAACAGAAAGAAAAGAAAAACAAAAGAAAAUCAAAAGAAAAUUUCCUUGAAUUACGUUCGACUUGAUUUCGAAAGGAUACGUAAGCAACCUCUCUUUGGAGUUCAUUCAUACCAAAAAUAAAAAUUCAAAUUCCCCCAAAAAUUGAAAUUGGGGCAGAAGUUAUAAUGGUGCGGCGAUGGUUUCGCAUGAAAGGUUCCAAAGUUGUAAUUCAAUUCAAAUUUUUUUUACCCCAAAAUCCCGUUCAAGCCUUUCCGAUCAAUUGGUAAAGAAGUUCAAAACUGGAGGAUACAAUUACUUGGAUCUGAUACAACCAAAUAAGUGAAAUUAAAUGAGAGAGUCUUAUGGGGUAAAACCCAUGCGGGCACCGUAAGAUGACGGUAACCAGUGAAAGGAAAAUGAGAGAGUCUUGUUAGUAAAAACUUGCAAAGAUCACUAUAAGGCGACAAUGAGAAGAGAAAUGCGAGAGGUCAGCUGGUGAAAACCCACAAAGGGCACCCCUGAUCAAAAAGGGUAUCCUCACAACCAUCGGUAUCGAUACAGUCCUGAGCAAGGUUUCUCGGUUUCAAGUUAAAACUUAUGAUGAAUUUCUGAGAGUUGGACAGUUUGCACAGAUCAGGCAUCCAGUCUAAAAGACAUGUCAUGUUCAUUGAAGUCCGCAUGUACUCCAGAUAAGUCCUUCUUUUCUUUCACAGAAAGGGACACUUCUUGUUUUAAACUCAUUCUUCAUUCCAUUAUUUGUUUUCUUUAAAUCCCUUUCUAUCACAAUCUAGAUUUCCCACCCACAGGAAUUAUGACGGCGCCUACUAGUGAAAGCUAGGGAAGACAAUGAUUCCAAUUAUUUUACCCCUUUACAUUUUUAAUCCAUGAACAAUUGUAAAUUAACAUUUUUAUAAACAAUGAAAAUUAAUAAAGGGGAGGAAUGAAAUUUAACAAUUUAGCUAAUACCAAUACGAAUCCAUAACUUAAACCACCCAAAAAUGGUGCCACAAUCUCAUGGACUAUCUAAGAAAACUAAAAAUAAAGUCUGAACAAGAAAGUACAUGUCUUUUUCCGAAAUAGUAUAGAACAAAUGAAAUUAGAUAGGGAGGGGAUACCAGGGCCUGCGGAUGCCUGCAUGGAUUAGGUCGGGUCUCCUUUUAGACUGAGGCAGCAACUCCAAGCUAAGGUCCGUAUACACCAGUACCAGGAUCUACACAAAGAACGCAGAAUGUAGUAUCAGCACAACUAAUCCCAUGUGCUGAUAAGUUUCGAGCCUAACCUCAGCGAAAUAGUGACGAGGCUAGGACACAACAACCAAUAACCUACAACAAAACAAUAUCUAACAGAAUAUAGGUAAAAAAAUAAUUCAGAAGUAAUAGGGAAAGGGUAACAUGCUAUGUGGAAAAUACCAACAUAAUGAAUCACAGUAAUAGUGGAAUAAGACAACUAAGGUAUUUGAACCCAAGCAGCAAGAAAUCAUAAUACACAUGCAAUAAGUGCACGACACGACCCUUUGUGCUUUUACUCUCAAUCCUCACCAAUGCAAUCAAAUAAUAAAAAUGUGCACGACAUUACCCGUCGUGCUUUAUCUCUCUUCCUCACCAUAUAAAUAUUUGAAAUGUGCACGACAUCACCCUUCAUGCUUUAUCCCUCUUCCUCACCAUAUGCAUCAAUAUCAUUAAAAAUGUACAAGGAAUCACCCUUCGUGCUUUAUCACUCUUUCCUCACGAAAUGUAUAACACUCGUCGUGAUUUAUCUCUCUUCCUCACCGUAUAAAUAUUAGAAAUGUGCACGACAUCACCCUUCAUGCUUUAUCUUUCUUCCUCACUAUAUGCAUCAAUAUCAUUAAAAAUAUACAAGGCAUCACCAUUCGUGCUUUAUCACCCUUUCCUCACCAAAUGUAUAAAUAUGAAUGUGCACGACAUCAACCUUCAUGCUUCAUCACUCUUUUCUCACCCAAGCAAAAACAAUAAUAAUAUCCCAGCAAGAGAAUCAACAACAAAAAAUAAAUACAUCCCAGCAAGGGAAUCAACAACAAGAAUAAACACACCCCGACAAGGGAAUCAACAGUAAUAAAUAAGUAUGUCCCGGCAAGGGAAUCAACUAUAAUCAAACUUGUACCAACGCUUAACUUCACAAUCAACACCUUAAUUGGAGCCAAUGUUCAACAAAUACCACAAAUUAAUCAUAGGUUUUGCUCAACACGGAGAAUCAACAAUUUAGGAAAUUUUAGUACUCCCUCCAUUUCAUAUUAAAUUAGGUACUUUCCUUUUUAGUCUGUUCCAAAAUAAAUGACAAAUUUCUAAAUUUGGAAAUAAUUUAACUUUAAACUCUUUCAUUUUACCCAUUUACACUUAAUUAGAAGCUUUUAUAGCCAUAAAAAUAUUAUGGCCCCACAAACGUUUUACCCCUUAAGCUUUUAAGAGCACAAGUUCCUAAAGUCUUUCUUAAACUCCUUGCCGAGUAAAACUACCUCAUUUAAUGUGAAACGGGGGGAGUACCUAUUAUGAAAUACAACAAUUAGAAUUUAUGACUCACGGGCAUGCUUGACACCAACGUAUAGAUACUUGUCACCACACCGAUACGUCGUAUACUACACUAGCACAUAGAAAAAAAGGCACAAUACCUAUUCCCUCAAGCUAAGGUUAGACCAAACACUUACCUCGAACUUCCACGACCAACUCAAGCCUCACACAUUGCUUUUCCUUUAGAAUUCGCCUCCAAUUCAAUCGUCUCUAGCCCAAAUUAAUUUAACAACAUCAAUAAAGGGUAAAGAAUUCAUACCCAAUGCUUAAUUAUAGGUUUUCUAUCAAUUUCCUCAAAAAACAAAAAUUGACUUGAGCCCUCUUGGUAAAAACUCGAGGUUUAGACCAAAUCCCGAAUAUGCAAUUACUUUCGAAAUCCGACCCCAAAACGAGGUCAAAAUUCCAAAUAUUCAAAAAAUCCUAACUCUACUCAAAAUCCUAAAUCUACCAUGGAAGAACAAUAUUUAGGCCUAGAAAUCUAAUGGGUAUUGAUGAAAAAUGAAGGAGAUCAGUUUAGGAACACAUACCUAUAAUUUGGUAUUGAUUUUGCUGUUUCUGCUGCUAUUUAAAAUAGUUGGGCGACAAUGCUCAUCGUGAUCGCUUAAACGCUAUUGCGAUCGCAAAGAGCAGCCUCCGAAGGACUCUUACGCAAUCGUGAUAUUCUCCAUGCGUUCGUGAAGUGUAUACCCCCUGGACCUCGUGUUUGCAUACCAACGUGCACGUUCACGUAGAAUAAAAGGUCGAUUCCCAACCCCCAUCCAUAUUACACUAUGCGUUCGCGGGACAAGGGUCGUGUUCGUGUAGAGCAUCCCCCCAGCGCUUCGCGUUCACAUCCUUCUCUUCGCGUUUGCAUAGAGAAAUUUACACCCCAACCUAGUUCUCUUUCGCGAUCGCGAGACUUGCUACGUGAUGCACAAAAUGUUUGUGCACUAAAGCAACAAAACCUGCUACUUUUCUCAGUGUAAAAAACUUCCGAAAUCUAUCCGCAACUCACCGGAGCCCCGCAGCUCUAAACCAAACAUGCAUACUAAUUCAAAAACAACAAAUGAACUUAUUAGUGUGAUCAAAUCGCCAAAUUAACACCUUUAAUGAUGAAUUUAUCAUCAAAAUCAAAGAAGAAUUUCAAGAACUCUUAAGUUCAAAUAUUAACAAUCGAGUGUCCAAUUCACGUCAUAUCAAGUCCGUUUCUUACCAAAUUUUACAGACUCGAACUAAAUACCAUAUAAGACCUGUACCGGCAUCCGAAACCAAAUACUAGCCCGAUACCAUCAAUUUCAAAUACAUUUAAAUUUCUAAAAACUCUUAAAAUUUCAGUCAAAUAAGUUUCUUCAAGAAUUCAUUUCUCGGGCUUGCGACCUCGAAAUUCAAUUCCAGGCAUACACCCAAGUCCCAUAUUUUUCUGGGACCAUCCGAGAUCGUCAAAUAAUAGGUCCAGGUCCAUUUACCCAAAAUGUUGACCAAAGUCAACUUAAAUUCAACUUUAAAGGCUAAAUUAGCAUUUUCAUCAAAUUUUCACAUAAAAGCAUUCCAGAUAUAUGCUUGGACCGUGCACACAAAUCAAGGUGAGAUAAAAUGAGGCUUUUAAGUCCUCAGAACAAAACAUUUACUCGAAAAUCAAGUGAAGACCUUUUGGGUCUUCACAUCCUCCACCUCUAAAACAACAGUUCAUCCUCGAACGGACAUAGAAAAGAAAUACCUGAGUUGGGAAAAGAUGCAGAUAUCGGCUCCGCAUAUCAGAUAGACUCCGAGAUAGCUGCCUCGGUAGGCUGACCUCUCCAUUGAACAUGAACUGAAGAAAACAUCUUCGAACUCAACUGACGAACCUGCCGGUCUAGAAUAGCCGCCGGCUCCUCCUUAUAGGUCAAGUCCUUCUCCAACUAGACAGUGUCUGAAGUCUAACACGUGGGAUGGAUCGCGGUGAUACUUGAAAAGCAUGGACACAUGAAACACUGGGUGCACAGCUAAUAAACUCGACGACAAUGCAAGUCUGUAGGCCACCUCACCCACUUGAUCAAGAAUCUCGAAAGGACCAAUGAACCUAUGGCUUAGCUUUCCCUUCUUUCCAAAUCUCAUCACGCCCUUCAUGGGCGACACCCGCAGCAACACCCGUUCUUCGACAAUAAAUGCCACAUCACGAACCUUGCGGUUGGCAUAAAUCAUCUGCCUGGAUUAAGCUGUACGAAGACUGUUAUGAAUAAUCUUCACUUUGUCCAAGGCAUCCUGCACUAGAACAAUACCCAACUCCACAAGAAGCUCAGCAAACUCUUGAACUAGCGGAAGCUAAUGUGAAAAAGGCUGAAGGAAGNNNNNNNNNNNNNNNNNNNNNNNNNNNNNNNNNNNNNNNNNNNNNNNNNNNNNNNNNNNNNNNNNNNNNNNNNNNNNNNNNNNNNNNNNNNNNNNNNNNNNNNNNNNNNNNNNNNNNNNNNNNNNNNNNNNNNNNNNNNNNNNNNNNNNNNNNNNNNNNNNNNNNNNNNNNNNNNNNNNNNNNNNNNNNNNNNNNNNNNNNNNNNNNNNNNNNNNNNNNNNNNNNNNNNNNNNNNNNNNNNNNNNNNNNNNNNNNNNNNNNNNNNNNNNNNNNNNNNNNNNNNNNNNNNNNNNNNNNNNNNNNNNNNNNNNNNNNNNNNNNNNNNNNNNNNNNNNNNNNNNNNNNNNNNNNNNNNNNNNNNNNNNNNNNNNNNNNNNNNNNNNNNNNNNNNNNNNNNNNNNNNNNNNNNNNNNNNNNNNNNNNNNNNNNNNNNNNNNNNNNNNNNNNNNNNNNNNNNNNNNNNNNNNNNNNNNNNNNNNNNNNNNNNNNNNNNNNNNNNNNNNNNNNNNNNNNNNNNNNNNNNNNNNNNNNNNNNNNNNNNNNNNNNNNNNNNNNNNNNNNNNNNNNNNNNNNNNNNNNNNNNNNNNNNNNNNNNNNNNNNNNNNNNNNNNNNNNNNNNNNNNNNNNNNNNNNNNNNNNNNNNNNNNNNNNNNNNNNNNNNNNNNNNNNNNNNNNNNNNNNNNNNNNNNNNUUUUACGAACUUGAUGUCGACAAAUCUGCGAAUCUAGAAAUUCAUUUCGGCCAAUUGAACCUUCUCGAACUGUUUCUUUUUAAGAACCAAAAAUAUUUGUGCCAAAAUAACAGAUGCCAAGAAGAACAAAAGUCCUUGGACACGUAAUGGAUCUUGAAGUACUAUUUCUGCAUCUCCGACAGAGCCUCUCUGACUCAAACCAUCCAAGCGGUGAUAUCACCUACCAUAUAAAAACUCAUAGGGAGCUAUCUGGAUGCUUGAAUGGUAGCUGUUGUUGUAUGAAAACUCUGUUAAAGGUAAGAGCUGAUUGUACAAACCUCCAAAGUCUAUAACGCAAUCUCGGAGCAUAUCCUCCAAAAUCUGAAUAGUACGGUCAAACUGUCUAUCCAUCUGGGGAUAAAGUGAUGUGCUCAACUCACGCUGAACUACCUGUGUACCCAACUCACGCUGAGCUACCCUCUAAAAAUGGGAGGUAAACAGAGUACCUCGAUCAUAAAUGAUAGACAUGGGCAUACCAUGAAGACAAACAAUCUCCCGGAUAUAGAUCUCAGCUUACCUCUGGGAAGAAUAGGAGACUGCCACAGGAAUGAAAUGUGGUGACUUGGUCAGCCUAUCAAAAAUAACCCACACUGCAUCGAACUUCCUCUGAGCCUGUGGGAGUCCGACAACAAAGUCCAUACUUAUACGCUCCCACUUCCACUUAGGAAGAUCAAUCCUCUGAAACAAACUACCAAGUCUCUGAUGCUCGUACUUUACCUGCUGAAAGUUCAAAUAUCAAGCCACAUACAUAACAAUAUCCUUCUUCAUUAUUCUCCAUAAAUAGUGCUGCCGCAAAUCCUGAUACAUCUUAGCGGCUCCCGGAUGAAUAGAAUACCGGGAACUAUGGGCCUUCUCUAAAAUCUAUUCACAAAAUCUGUCUAUAUUAGGCACACAAAUACGACCCUGCAUCCUCAAAACUCUAUCAUCUCCAACUGUAACAUGCUUGGAACCUCUGUGUCACACUGUGUGUCUAAGGACAAGUAAAAUGAGGAUCAUUAUACUGCCGAUCUCGGAUACGCUCAAAUAAUGAAGAACGAGCGAUUGUUCAAGCUAAAACACGACUGGGCUCAGAACAUCCCACUAGAUGAACUAAUUGGCUAAAGCCUGAACAUCCAAAGCAAGCGGUCUCUCCAGAACCGGAAUAUACGCAAGGCUUCCCAUACUGGCGGAUUUCUUAGUCAAUACAUCGGCCAAUAUACUGGCCUUUCCGGGAUGAUACAAUAUGGUAAUAUCAUAGUCUUUCAACAGCUCCAACCACCCCUUCUGCCUCAAAUUCAGCUCUUUCUACUUGAACAAGUAUUGCAACCUCUUGUGAUCCGUGAACACUCAUAGAACACGCCAUAUAAAUAAUGCCUCCAAAUCUUCAGUGCGUGAAAAAUGGCGGCUAACUCCAAAUCAUGAACUGGAUAAUUCUUCUAAUGGAUCUUUAACUACUGCGAAGCAUAUGCAAUAACCUUGCCAUUCUGUAUCAACACCUCACCAAGCCCAACACGCGAUGCAUCACAAUAUACUGUAUAUGACCCUGAACCUAUAGGAAAAACCAACACCUAAACUUGGCACCCUUUUAGGUCAACCUGGUCAUCGGGGCUGCAAUAGAUGAAAAUCCCGGUCACACCUCCUUUUGGCGUGCCCCGCAAAGGGCGAAGGAGUUUUUUCCAAUUAAAGGACAAUCAAACAGGAUUGAUUUAUUAAGUUCAGAGUCGCCACUUGGGAAAUUUGCGGUGUCCCAAGUAACCGGUUUUAAUCCCGAAUCUAGGAAAGGAUUGACUCUAAUUUACAGUCUGCGUACCAAAUAUCCGGAUAAGGAAUUUUGUUAACCCGAGAGAAGGUGUAAGACAUUCCCAAGUUUCGUGGUUCUAGCAGGUCGCUCAACUGUUUUAUUUGGCUUAUUAUCUUAUUAUUAAACAAUAUGUUCUUGGUGCAAAAUGUAACUUUUUACUGCUUUUAUUAUUAUUGUUGCCAUUUUGGAAAAAAAAUUUCAACGUCGUGAAAAUAUAUCUCGAACCACGUCACAACCAGUGUACGCGUGGUUGUUAAGAUAUUUAGACUUCGUUGAGAUUUGGAUUUCGGUUGCAUAAAUGCACGCCCAUAUUUAGGGAGGUAAUUUUAUUAAAUAUGCGCCCUAAGCGACCAAUGUAGUGUUGUUUUGGACAAGGCCGUGAAAUUUUAUUAAACGGCCCGUUCCGGAGUCUAAGCAAUCUUGCAUAAAAUAUAUAUGGAGGGCCCCGUGAUUUGUGUAUUUUUUUUAGCGAGGCACGCUAAUGCAUCUCGAACUACGUCACAACCAGUGUACUCGUAGUUUGUUGACGCAUUCCGACUUUGCCGGGACUUGGAUUUGGGCAGCAUAAAUACACACCUGAUCUUAGGUAUUAAUUAAGGCGCAUCCUAAAGAGACUAACGUAUUUGUUAUUUUGGGAAGACGCCAUGAAAUUCAUUAAACGGCCAAAUCCAAAGUCUACUCGCUUAUUAUGUCCUUAUAAUUGGGGACCCCGCGAUUUGUAAUUUGUUUUGGUGAGGCACACCCCAUUUUAUUUUUUAAAGGAUGUCCUAAAGCGACUAAUAUUUUCUAUUUGUUUGUCUCUAAAAUUGAAAAAGAGAAUCCUACAUUUAUUUACAUACCGGAAUUAUUAGAACUAAGUUAUGAACAUGGUUUAUUAGAGGCUGAAAUUAACCGGGUGAGCCUCAGUUUUUAACAUUUGUAGGCCCAUGCCUAGCGUGAAGGAGGCAGAAUUGGGCCUGGGCCAUCUCGCUCGGAUUUAGGGCUAACUACAUGGCACUACACGUUUUGAAUUUGCGAUGUGGCAGAAACGAAAUCAACGGUUAAAGAAACUUAUUUUUGAAUCUGAAAUAGACGAACUGUCAGCUAGAAGAAUUAGAAUUACUUGUUAAUUAUCUUUACACGUGAUGUCUAUGUAAAUGUGCUAUAACUGAAUUGAAAACUGGAAAUGGAAGAAUAGACAUGCUACUUCAUUGUUUUUUUUCCUAACUAGCAUACGUUGGAUAGAACUUGCAGAUUUAAACUACUGCAGAUUAAUACUUAUACAUACAUUUCCAGAUGCUCACGUUAUUCUACUGAACUAAGAACUGAUACACAUAUAACUUAACAUAAAAAAAACACUAGAUGACUUCGAGCUUUAAGGCCCUUGUUUUAUUCAUGAUUCAAAGGUUCCAUCUACAUUGUGUACAAGUGUAGUAUGUGUACCUGGUAUUUCUGAAAAGCAAACAAGAGAGGGAGUAUGAGCAGAGGACAGGCAAACACAGCAAUACACAGCUCAACAACACACAUCAAAACCUAGUGGCAAUAGCAGAAAUCCUAGCAAUAGAUGAAGAAAACCAAACAGGCAGAGUCCACAAUAAAUGCAAUAGUACUUGUAUACAAAUAGCAAAACUCAGCAACACCCAAAUGUAUAUCAGCAACACCAGAAACCAACUAACACCAAAAAACCCAAGAAUAAUACGCUGACAAUUCAGUAACACUCUAGAACACACUCACAAUCACAGCAAAGAUGAACAGAUGUGAGGGCAGUAAUGUUUCUGCUUAUGAACACUCAAAACUCAGCCUUAAACUUAAUUAAUUUCAAUGAGAACUUUAGGGUAAAAAUUUCCAUCCUUAGACACUCUAUUACUCUUAACUUGUCUAUUUUUUCUCUCUGGAGUUUUGAAGGUAAAAAAACCCAGCCCUUAUUAUGUUCUAAACCAGCCUAUAUAUAAGCUACAUAGAGCACUUGGCUCUGCAGGUCUUGAACCUACCCAUACCCAUGUAUUCCCAUGCCUAACAGGCAAUUUUGAUGGAAACAAAUGUUCCCCAUUAGUGUUCUAUUAGUGCCCUGUUCUGAUCAAGAAAUGAUGGGGAUGAGUUAUAUUAUUAAUAACAGUCCUCAUACCUUGGCUUGUCAUCCUAAUUAGGGUAAACAAAGGUUUUUAAUCAGGCCAUUAGGGUAGGCCUUGUCAGGGUCAUGUGCAAGCCUUAUUAGGCUGUCUAAGUUAACCCUUAUCCCUUAGUUAUUAACUGUGUUUACCUAAAGUUUAGGGUCUGGAAUCACUACUAUAUAACUUUGUAUUCCAUUUCUAAUUUCAAGCCUUAAUCUUAUGAUUUCUACCACUAAUACCAAUCUUAGGUUCAAGUGAGGAGAAUGAUGCAAAUUUAAGGGUGAGCUGGUCAAUCUGGUAAACAAGACCUGACCAAGCUCCAAACUAAUACACAAGAAAGUAACAUGCUUAGCAAAACUAAUGAGUAGAGGCAUAUUUGAUGCACAAGAGCAAACAUACUGGCAGUCAAGCAAAUUAGCAACUUAGGCUUCUUCUAAUUCUUUAAGUUUCAUGUGAGUUCAGUUGACGACUAUUGCCUAAUUAAUUAUAUAAAAUAUUAUAAAUAGUUAAUAUUCAAGGAAGCACAGUGUAUAAGCAGGCUUUGAGAUUUUAGUGCUUUUCAGACUGGGAAAAUAACAUGAACUAACUAAAAAACAAAAUCUAAUCUUAAAAUGAUGAAUACAACUCAGAAUAACAAUUAACAAACACACGAACAAAUAGAAAUGGCCAAAUAAAAGGCCUUUUAAAGAGAUGAGCAUAGAUUGAAAAAGAACAAAAGAGAAACUUAACUAAAAAACUAUGAUGCAAUAUCACAAAACAAUACACCUAAAAAGAAAAAGAAAGAGGCGGAAACUUAGCUUUUUCAGGCUCAGGGACCAAAUGACUAGGAUUUGACCGGAUUCGACCGUGUUCGACCAUUUUUAUUCUAGGGCAAUCAUAUAUUUUAUUAUUAUUUCUAUUCUAACUAGUAUAUAUGGAGAUUUGGUGGCAUAGAUUAUAUUUCCUUGCUCCAUAACUGGUAGUGUUAUUACUAAUAGCAAAGUGUGUACUAAUAUUUGUAGGGACUCAAGGUUUGCCUGGCAAUCACGUAGAAUUAGAAAAGGAACAAGAAAUAAAGAAAAUAAAUAAAAUAUAAAAUAAAGUAGUCAAAUUUGAGUGUGAAAUAAUUUAUGGUAAAAAUAACAAUAAUACGAUUUGGGAAAAAAUAAAUGAAUAAAAGAGAAUAGAAAAUAAGAAGAAAACGAGAAAAGAAAAGGAGAAAAAAAAAAGAAAAAAAGGAAAAAAAAUAUAGAAAUAAAAAAGAAUUGGAAAGAAAAGAGAUAAUUUCCACAAAAAUUAAUAUAGGUAGAAAAUGUAAUUAGUUUAGUAGGUAAAAUAAAUGAAUAAAUAAGAGUAAAUAGUUUUAUUUUUAUGGGUAACUGUGUUAUUUCCUUGUUCUUUAGUGUAAUUUCCUUGUUCUUUAGUGUAAUUGGGCUGCUCAAGUGCUUGGCCCAUUUGAACAUAGCAGUCCUAUUUUCCUUUCUUUGUUAGACUCUGCAAAAUUAUCCACUUUAGACUAAAAAAUCUAAUUAAAUCUUAUUUUUGUAUGGAUAACCUAUUUAUCUAUUUUACCUAAUGAUGGACUAAUGCAACUAAUUAACUAGCCUAAGAAUGUACUUUGAGAUUUUAUGUAUUUAACUAAUGCAUCUAACGAUGUAAUUAAAUCCUAAAAAUGCGAUUAAAGUGUCAGAAUGCAACAAAUAAAAGAUGAAAAUAUCUUUUACAUUUUUUGAUUUAAGAUAUUCCUAAUUAGCCAAAAAAAUGCAACUAAAUGCAAUAAACUGCAGACAACAAAUCUUUCAAAUCCUACAAAAAUCUAAACCAAGUAGAAAACUAUUUUUGGGGGCUUUUUAGGAGUUAUUUUUUCAAGUAGGGUAUAAAUUAUGUGCUCACAAACACAAUUCAAUAUUUCGCUUUUUGUUAUUAAACACCUCUCAUCACUAUUUUUUAGGCGGAUUAUCUAUUUAGUAAUACAUUCGCGCGAAUACAUAAAAUACAGAAUUAAACAAUUAUAAUCCAUGUUUUUUAGGCGGAUUACCUCACUGUAUUUAUAAAUAUAGCCGCACAAAUGCAUGGAACACAGAGUUAACCCUUGUAAUCCCUAUUUUUAGGUUAUUACCUCUCUAUAUUUAUAAAUAUGAUGUGUGAAUACAUGAAAUAUAGCAUAGUAGCAACGAGAAUUUUGUAGAAUUAAUUUUGUUGAGUUAAAUUAGGAGUGAUACAUGCUAAUUGAUUCUCUUUUCGUUAUUCAACAGCUGGACCCCCUAUUUUUUGAGGUGAAUUCCGCUACUGCGUCGCCAGAGCUGUCGCACCUCCUUUUCCACCCCGCGAGGAUUAAGGGGAGUUUUUCAAUUAAAGGGCAAUAGAAACGGGAUUAUUUGUUAAAGAUUUAGAGUCGCCACUUGGGAGAUAUAUGGUGUCCCAAGUCACCGGUUGAAUCCCCAAUCGAGAAAAAUUUGACUCUAUUUAACAGUCCGCGAACCAGAAAUCUGGACAAGGAAUUAUGUUAACUCGGGAGAAGGUGUUAGGCAUUCCCGAGUUCUGUGGUUCUAGCACGGUCGCUCAACUGUCAUAUUUAGCUUACUUAUCCGAUUUUUAUUGCAUGUUGUAACUUAUGUGCCAAUUUUAACUUUUAACCACUUUUAUUCAAAUUAUUAAAGAAGAUUGAACAUCAUGUGAAAUAUGUCUUUAAAUUGCGCCGCAUGAAAUGAACUCGCAAAUCUGAACAUACCUGAUUCGAUGUUCUGGGAUUUGGAUUUGGGUUGCAUGAAAUGCACACCCAAGUUUAGGAGGUAAAAUUAUUAAUUACGCACCUAAAGAUACUAAUGCGUUAUUAUUUUGAGAAUGCCGUGAAAUUCACCAAACGGCAUGUCUCGUAGUCUAAGUAUACAUGUAUGAGGGCCCCAUAUUUUACGAAUUAUUUUGGCGAGGCACACCUCAUUUAUUUUAAGGAUAUCCUAAAGUAACUACAUUUCUAUUAAAUUUUUCUCUAAUUUAAAGAGGAAAAAUCCUAGUUAAUUACAUGCUAAAAAUGUAGCAUAUUAAUAGCUAAAUUAAUACAAAUAUUAACGGAAGGGAAUAUUACAAAAAUUUAAAUUUUAAACAAAAUCGGGAUCAACAAACAAUAUAUUCAAAGGAGAUUAAUUAUCCUACAACUAAAUUAAAUCCACAUAGUUAUAUGAAUAAACCAAUAAUUAUUUACAACUAUUAAAAAAAACUAAAAUUAACCUUAAUUAUUAAUGCUUACUCGAAAGUUUAUUAAAUCUAAAAUUUAAACCAUCUUGCUAGAUUCACGCCUAAUGGAUUAAUGUUCUUAGCCUUGUUACAUUGAAUCAGACAUUAAAAGCAUCAAAUCUACCGAUUCUACAAAAUUACUAACUUGAUGUAUUUGCCUAACCUUGUUACAUUGAAUCACACAUUAAAAGCGUCAAGUCUGCGGAUUCUACGGAAUUACUAACCUAUUAUGAGAACUAGUGAAGCUGAAACUAUUAGCUAUGCGAUUCUUACAGACAUACAUCCUAUAGUGUAAUAAUCUAACAGUUUACUCAAAUUAAACAAGAAUAUCAUAUUGACUAUAUUCGCGCCAUUUCAAGGAUCUUAGUUUCAUAAUCUAAUGUUAUGCUUCAGUCAACUGCUAAUUAGUGACCUUAUAAAGGGGAACAGUCCUAAUUAUGCAUGCCUCUACCAUUCGUAUAGCAAGAAAAUAUAUAACUCAUCUUUAACUAUAAUACAAAUAUGCUAUAACUAAAUACAUAAAUUUCUGCUAUUUCAUUUCAUCUUCAAGGCGUACAUCAAAGUGAUUCAAAGUGGUGUAACUAGUAUUGGAAUAUAAAGAAGAGGAAGAUCAGUAGGAAGCAAUGGCAGCACACACACAACAACAGUUCAACAUCACGGGAGUAGCCCAGCAACAGCGGGGAUUGCAGAAAAAACCCAGGAGAUUACAACCAAGCAGAAAAAUCAGGAAAUUCCAAACCAACCGAAAACCAACAGUAAACCCAAGCAACACUACUUGAAUGCCAGUAGUAAAGCACAAACCAGCAAAGAAAUAAUCAGUUGCCAAAAAUAGGCACUUCUGAUUUUUAACAUUCAAGAAGAGAUGCUUGAAGCUUCAAUGAACAAUAGCAAUUGAUGCUGAUUUUUAACAGCAAAGAAAAUAAACAGAUUUUUCUUCAGUUUCUCACUUUCGAACUCUCUCUACUUCUUAAGAUUCAAAAUCUUUUUAUCUCCCCUCUAGUUCUGAAAUUUCAAUCUCAAAUUUCAGUCCUCUUUAAGUGUUAAAUGACUCCUAUUUUAUAUCCCAAGCAAGACACUUUCUUUUACCUUUUAACUAUUAACUUUUACUUUUAAACUAUUAUUACUAACCCUUUUAGCUCUUUUAUUUUUUCAGUCCAAUAUUCUUCUACUAUGUAUCUUUUAACUUUUAUUCUUUCCAAUUAAGUACAAGCAGUCAACACGGACCCCACAGUCCCACCCCUUUUCAAUUGUCAAAGAAGACCCCUUUUUACUUUACAUCAUUAUAUCUUGUCCCCCGCUGUAUUAUUUUAAUAUAUUAUUGUUGUCAUUAAAUCUAUUUAUUAUUAAAUUUAUUUUCACAUUUUUUCCAUUUUUUAACUCAAUAUUUUCUUUUUCUUGAUUAAUCUGUUUUAGUUAAUAAAUUAAAAAAAAUAUAAAAUAUCAUAACAUGAUUAUACUAAAUUUACAUAUAUUUUAACUAAAUCCGAUUUUAACUAAUUUACUUAUUACGGAAUAAACAAAACCUGAUAAUUAACAAAAUAAAUACAAACUCUGAAAAAAUAAACAACAAAAAUAAACAUGGCAGAAAUAAAAAAAAUAUAAAUGCUUAAAUUAAAUUAUGAGAACGGAAUAUAAUGCGCAAAUUAAAUAAAAAAUAGAAUAUAAUGCGGGGAAAAAAGUAAUAGUAAAUAAAUCCGGAAAUUAAUGAAAAAUAAAAAAAUGCAUAAAUGCAUGAAAUAAAUAACAAAUACGUAGAUAAAAUUACAAAAUUUAAAGGGUCUAAUCGUGAAAAAAAAAACCUCAACCCAGGACUCCCGUCUUGGAUCUAAUAUCCUUGAUGGAAGAUCUUGACCGGAGGAUUUUAUAAUGACUAGAAAAAAUGAAAAAAGAAGUAGAUCUAAGGUUUUGACAUUUUUAGAUUCAAGAUCUAUGGAUUUUGGUUGAAUUUUUGGGGAUUUGGUUGGUAGGAUGAUGUUUAAGAGGAUGAGAGAAGUGUAUGGUGUGAGUUUGAGGGUUUUUUGGAGUUUCUGCCGCCGACGGAGAUUUCGGGGGGGCGGCGGCGGCGGCGGUGGAGGAGGCGGCGGCGGCGAGGGCACCACCGUGGAGGCGGCAGCGGCGGUGGAGUGAGAAGAGGGAGGUAGAGAGGUUUUGAGUUUAGAGAGAUGUGAAGUGGAAGAAUGAAGAGAUUAAAAGUGAGAGGGCUGGGUUUUCUUUUGAAUAAUUUUUAUAUUAAAAAAAAGGGUGAGUUUCGGACCGUUGGAUUUACUAGAGAUCAAUGGUCAAAAUUGAGUGGGGAGAUGUGGUGGAUCAGAUUUUUAAGGAUUUGGACUUUGUUUAUUGUUUUUUUUGUUUUGGU